UGUGUGUGACACAAAAACACACUUUCCAGUCAUUUAUUGCAGGUGGAUCGGAUCGACAGAUUGCACCACAUUGAGCCAGUUUGUUUGACAGACAAAUUUGUGCAGCCGCUUAGAAAUGUGCAAGUGGAAAACGCUUUGCUGAAAACACACAUACGCACACACAUAGAGCAGCAGAGGCGAAAAAUUGCAAUUAUCUAAAUGGAAUGGAUUAGUUCGGGGGCCAACAAAGACAAAAACCUUCAAGAGUGCAAACUACGCAAAUUUCGUCACAACUUAAUGGCAAUUGAAAGUGCUGGCACGCAUUCGGUCCACAGCUAGAUGCCGAGAGGUGCUGCUGCCCCUGCCCCGAUCCAUAGUCGAGUUAUUUAGUGGAGUAACAGACCCAACCAACUGGCAGCGACCGUGUGCUGUGUUAAUGAGCGCCGUGAGAGCGAGCUCAGUGCAUGCCCACUGCGUGUAUGUAUAUGAUGAUUGAUGAUUGUGCAACGCUCUUUUGGUUGUAAGUCUAGAAGUUUUUAUAUGGAUGAGCCUAUAUUAAAUGGCAUUUGGUUAUGUAUAAUCGAUUCAUGCUCAAAAAAUCAAACGUUUAAGGUGAAAAGUUGUUUGUUAUGUUUAUAUAGAAGCCUACAUCAUAUAUAUCAUCUCAUAGAGACACAUCCUUCGUGGUGGCAUACCAUAAGAGUUUUGUACAAUAUUCAAUAUUUAUCAGAGCUGAACAUUUAAAAAUGAAGCAAUCAAAUCUGUUCUGUUCAGCUAUGCUCACAGAAGCUCAUACUUAAAUAUAUAUUUUUUAGUACACUA
Drosophila mojavensis is the source of this 801-nucleotide long non-coding RNA. RefSeq lists it as uncharacterized. The record is from RefSeq and is a predicted model, not a curated record. NCBI's taxonomy places the organism in Eukaryota, Metazoa, Arthropoda, Insecta, Diptera, Drosophilidae. The transcript is spliced from 2 exons.